AGAGUUUGAUCAUGGCUCAGGACGAACGCUGGCGGCGUGCCUAAUACAUGCAAGUCGAACGAGAAUUGCUUACACCGAGUGCUUGCACUCACCGUAAGGAAUUCGAGUGGCGGACGGGUGAGUAACACGUGGGUAACCUGCCUAUCAGAGGGGGAUAACACUUGGAAACAGGUGCUAAUACCGCAUAACAUUGAAAAGCGCAUGCUUUUCAAUUAAAAGGCGCUUCUGGUGUCACUGAUAGAUGGACCCGCGGCGUAUUAGCUAGUUGGUGGGGUAACGGCCUACCGAGGCAAUGAUACGUAGCCGAGUUGAGAGACUGAUCGGCCACAAUGGGACUGAGACACGGCCCAUACCCCUACGGGAGGCAGCAGUAGGGAAUCUUCCACAAUGGGCGCAAGCCUGAUGGAGCAACGCCGCGUGCGUGAAGAAGGUCUUCGGAUCGUAAAGCGCUGUUGUUAGAGAAGAACACGGAUAAGAGUAACUGUUUAUGCGUUGACGGUAUCUAACCAGAAAGUCACGGCUAACUACGUGCCAGCAGCCGCGGUAAUACGUAGGUGGCAAGCGUUGUCCGGAUUUAUUGGGCGUAAAGGGAACGCAGGCUGUUUUUUAAGUCCGAUGUGAAAGCCUUCGGCUUAACCGAAGAAGUGCAUUGGAAACUGGGAGACUUGAGUGCAGAAGAGGAGAGUGGAACUCCAUGUGUAGCGGUGAAAUGCGUAGAUAUAUGGAAGAACACCAGUGGCGAAAGCGGCUCUCUGGUCUGUAACUGACGCUGAGGUUCGAAAGCAUGGGUAGCGAACAGGAUUAGAUACCCUGGUAGUCC
This 820-nucleotide ribosomal RNA is filed under the name uncultured bacterium. RNAcentral's name for it is "bacterial SSU rRNA". It matches the Rfam family "Bacterial small subunit ribosomal RNA", at positions 8 to 796 of the family's 1533-position model. The record is from RNAcentral.